CACCCAUUCCCUUCAGCUUUUUAUACAGCUAGCCACUCCUCAAUCUUACGGUGCAGCUGAAAGGUCUCAACUCAAAACGUCAACUGUCCAUUUCCCUCCACAGAUGCUGCCUGACGUGUUGAGUUCCUCCAGCACCGUGGUUAUUGUCCCUCAUAAUCUCAGUGGCCUUAAGUGUGGACGUCUAAUUAUUUAGUGAUACUGAUUAUUUAGGCCCUUCAAGCCACAUUGUGCCCAGCAACACUGGAAUUUAGAAGGAUGAGAGGGGAUCUGAUUGAAACAUAGAAGAUUAUUAAAGGAUUGGACAUGCUAGAGGCAGGAAACAUGUUCCCGAUGUUCAGGGAGUCCAGAACUACAGGCUACAGUUUAAGAAUAAGGGGUAGGCCAUUUAGAACGGAGUUGAGGAAAAACUUUUUCUCCCAGAGGGUUAUGGAUCUAUGGAAUGCUCUGCCUCAGAGGGCAAUGGAGGUCAAUGCUCUGGAUGAUUUCAAGAAAGAGUUAGAUAGAGCUCAUAAAGAUAGUGGAGUCAAGGGAUAUGGGGAGAAGGCAGAAAUGGGGUACUGAUUGUGGAUGAUCAGCCAUGAUCACAGUGAAUGGUGGUGCUAGCUUGAAGGGCCGAAUGGUCUACUCCUGCACCGAUUGUCUAUUGUCUAUUAUCAAUCCCACCCCAAUUAGCCCUACCCUAAUCAUGGGACAAUUUACAAUGACCAAUUAACAUACAUGGCACGCCUUUGGACUGUGGGAGGAAGAUGGAGGACCUGGGGGAAAUCCCAUACAUUCAUGGGGAGGACAUAUAAUAGAAAUUCCCUACAGAAUGGUGCCAGAGUUGAAGUCCAAACUCUGGAAUUCCCCGAGCUGUAGUAGCUAUAACUUGGGACAGCCCCUUUCCCUUAGCCAAGAAGUUGAUGAUCAUGGGUUAUUAGCUAAUGGUGGAAGGAUUAGAGGGGAGAUGAAAAAAGGAUUUCUUCAACCAGUUAAGCUCUGGAAUCUGUGCUGGGUGGUAGGUACCAAGGGUGGUAGGGGCAGACGUCCUGUCCCACCACAUUUAGGAUGUUUUUGUGUGAAGUCGGAGAUGUGACCUGCAGAGCCUUGGUACAGUCACCGGAUAGUGGGAUGAGAAUGGUGGCUCUAUUUUGACCAGCAACUGGUCUUUGCUUCUGUGUCCUUGAGUUUUCCAUGAAUGGGAAAGGUGCAAGGGAAAGUAACUAGUAUGGAUCGGUGGAGCAGAAAGGUCUAAUUCAUUGAUGGUUUUUGUGUUAGUUUAUUGUUGUCACAUGUACCGAGACACAGGGAAAAGGUCAUCUCACAUAGAUCAUUACACAGUGCAUUGAGCUAGAGUAUGUAAACAAUAACAACACAGAAUAAAGUGUAACAGCAAGGGGAAAAGUGCAGGUAACUGGUAAAAUGCAAGAUCAUUUUGAGUUUGAUUAUGAGACCAAAAGUCAAGCUUAUUGUACAAGAGUCCGACAAGGCUGUCCUCGACCCUGGUGGAACGCACUUCCAGGCUUUUGUAUCUUCUGCCCAGUGGAAGAGGGGAGAAGAAAGAAUGCUCAAGCUGCUGCCCGGCCUGCUGAGUUCCUCCAGCACUUUGUGGGUGUUGCAUCUGAAUAAAGUUGCCAAACAUUCUGAAGGAGGAUGCUGACAGAAACAUGUUGCCUUGGAGACUUCCUUCAAAGGACGCUCGUCUGCUCGAGCUACUUUCAACAUAAAUAUAUUCAAUCAUAAUGGGAGAGAAACACA
Long non-coding RNA from Hypanus sabinus (Atlantic stingray), 1737 nucleotides. RefSeq lists it as uncharacterized. The transcript is spliced from 3 exons. The record is from RefSeq and is a predicted model, not a curated record. Lineage: Eukaryota; Metazoa; Chordata; Chondrichthyes; Myliobatiformes; Dasyatidae.